CAAUCUAGGUUCAUUCGUCUGAUAUACCAUCACUUCUCGUUCUCAUUGCCGGAUCAUACGUAUUCGCUGUUUUUAGCACUUGCAACAGCAAAAAAUCAUCUUGGGCAGGAUGACGUACGCGCAUUUAAUAUUCUCCUUCGACAAGCUUGGAAUGAUUUACUGAUGGACCAGAUUGCAGUAGUUGGUCAAAAUUGGCCUGAUCAAGCCGAACAAAAUCCGAUCUUUUAUGAAAUUAUGUGGUGGCAGAGCAGGCAGGCAGGGGUGGUACCUCCAAGGAGAGGAUAUACAGGUACACCUGAGUCAUUAUACAAUUUUGGAAGAAACAACAGAGUUCAUGCACCUGGAAAAAAAAGGGGCCAAGGGGAGCUCUGCUAGGGGAGAUUCAGCAAGUGCCACCCCAUGGUGCAAGGCGUUGGCGAUGGAUGAUCAUUACUCCUGAGGGGGAAUGGGGCUGGGCGUGGCAGCCUGCUCAAGGGCAGUGGUUCUGGCCGACGGUUCUAGGUGAUACCCAGUGGCGAAUGACCAAGUGGCCAAAUGUUGCACCAGUGCUGCCUCUACUACCAUUAUCUGCCCAGGACCAGAAAAUGGAUAAUCCAGAGAAUGUGGGCCAUAUGGUAGGGAAGGAGUUUGGGAUGUUCUUUGCUCAUGCCACGGCCUUUGUCCUCCUAUUCUUACAGUGUGGAACUCCAGAGUAUAUUGAUCAGCCUCAUCAGAGAUACGAAGAGGCAAUGGAUAGUUAACUGCAGAGUCAUGCUAUUUUCUCCCAUUGCCGAGGCACAGCUGAGAGGAGUUUCGAUGUUCCAAUGCUGGCAAGAUUUAAGUUGAAGGCUGCGGCUACGAGCUUGUGGGCUGAUUCGCAAUGCGUUCCAGUUUGAUCAAAUUCUCCAAAAGUUGCACUGAUGAGCCAAUGCAUUGCUGAGUGAAUCUUUUUGUAAUUUUCUGUUGCUUAGGUCUACUUACUGAAUCAGUGAAUCUUAUUGAUUCAUGUUGCUCAUGACUUCCUUGUAAAAAAUUAACAUACUAUAGCAUCUUACCGGAUCUUUUUUUAUCAA
RNA transcript from Triticum dicoccoides, 1052 nucleotides. RefSeq lists it as uncharacterized. The transcript is spliced from 5 exons. The record is from RefSeq and is a predicted model, not a curated record. NCBI's taxonomy places the organism in Eukaryota, Viridiplantae, Streptophyta, Magnoliopsida, Poales, Poaceae.